GAUGCAUAUUUCAAAAUUUUGUAUUUUUCAAUAAAGUAAUGUCACAUCACUAUACCUUUCUAUUGCAUCCUAUUGCACGUUUCCUCACUUUUCAUUUCAUUUGAAAAUGCAUCUUAUCUCUCCUAUCACAUAUCUCUUUCUAUCUCCUUCAACCUUCAUCUCCUUCUCCCCCAACCUACUUCAAACCCAUUCUACUAACCUUCAUCUCCUUCAUCUCUCAAGCCUAUUACCAAACUUCUCAUGGUGAACGAUUUAGUGGUUGAUUCUCAUGACUGCGGAACGAAAAUGAUUUCAGAUUUAAGGUUUGGUUCAAGUAAGUAUAUUUUAAUUUUCUUUAUGUUUUACUUUUCAAUCUUUCUUCUUCUUAUGAUUCUUUGUUUGUUAAUGGAUUUUGUGGGUCUCCUAUAUAGAUUUUUUACGAUCUGAAAAUUAGAAAAGAACAAGGAUCUGAUAAAAUUUCAGUAAUGAGUAAAGGAUGAGAAGAAUAGAUUUUAGAUGACAAUUUUCUUGCUGCGAGGAGAAAAUAAAGUAUCUCAGGUUUAAGGUUUAGUAGAUCUCCAGUGUAAAUUUUUUCAGAUCUGGAGAUUAAAGAGGAACACCAACAAUUUUAUCUUUAUCAGAUGCUUAGGGGCCGGUAUUUAUGUAUACUGGUGUUAACUCUCUCACUUUUGGCCUUCAUGUGCAUUUACGCUUAUGUCAUAUUUCACAACUUCAUCCAUAUGUUACAAAUUCUACCAUGGGGACUCAUACAUGUCAUAGUUUCUAAAGAUUGAGUUUACUUUCUUACCCAAAAUAAAUUUCAAGCUGGAGAAAUACUUAGGUUUACUUUUCAUAAAAUUUCAUGAAUGAGAAUAAUUGGUGUUGUAAAAAUUAUAUUUUAAUAAUUAUAUAUUAACCUACAAGAUUAUAUUAACUUAAAAUUAAUUGAUUUUUAUUACUAUUAUUAUUUGUAAUCAUUUUAUAACAACUAUUGAAAAAUAUCAUUAUAAAAUUAAAGAAAAAAAAGAAAAGAAGUAAAUAGAAAUUUAUGGAGUAUUUAUUAUUGAUUAAGAUGAGGGUAGAAAAAUAAAUGAGAGUUUGAAAAUAAAGUACCAAUAGAGAAAGCAUAGAGGUGCAAAAAUGUUGUCCUUUAUGUUGAAUAACGAUAUGAUAAUUAAUUGAUAGAAAUUAAUGUUGUGUUAAAUAAAAUUUAAGAUUUAAUAAUAAUAAUAAUAAUAAAACUAAAAGGAGUGUCAUAUUAAACCGAAAAAUUCUCAACUUAAUAAUUGAUACAAUUAAAUUGAAUUAAAUACCCUAAUAUUGUGUGGUAUAGAGAUAUGGAAAACAUCAUGAAUCAUAAAUAUUAUUUAAUUAAAGUCAUAUUAAACCGAAAAUUCUCAACAUAAUGAAGAUUCGUUCAAAUAUUAUAAGAAAACAUCUUUUUCCUGUAUGUUUAUAAAUGAUAUAUCUAUAGGAAAUAAAAAGUUAUUAAAUAAUGAAUAAAUAUAUUUUUAAUUAUCUUAAGAAUAUUAAAUAUG
Vicia villosa (hairy vetch) is the source of this 1517-nucleotide long non-coding RNA. RefSeq lists it as uncharacterized. The record is from RefSeq and is a predicted model, not a curated record. NCBI's taxonomy places the organism in Eukaryota, Viridiplantae, Streptophyta, Magnoliopsida, Fabales, Fabaceae. The transcript has 3 exons.